UGGGGAAUAUUGCACAAUGGGCGCAAGCCUGAUGCAGCCAUGCCGCGUGUAUGAAGAAGGCCUUCGGGUUGUAAAGUACUUUCAGCGGGGAGGAAGGUGUUGUGGUUAAUAACCACAGCAAUUGACGUUACCCGCAGAAGAAGCACCGGCUAACUCCGUGCCAGCAGCCGCGGUAAUACGGAGGGUGCAAGCGUUAAUCGGCAUUACUGGGCGUAAAGCGCACGCAGGCGGUGUGUCAAGUCGGAUGUGAAAUCCCCGGGCUCAACCUGGGAACUGCAUCCGAAACUGGCAGGCUUGAGUCUUGUAGAGGGGGGUAGAAUUCCAGGUGUAGCGGUGAAAUGCGUAGAGAUCUGGAGGAAUACCGGUGGCGAAGGCGGCCCCCUGGACAAAGACUGACGCUCAGGUGCGAAAGCGUGGGGAGCAAACA
Molecule: ribosomal RNA, 427 nt
Filed under: uncultured bacterium
Lineage: Bacteria
Description: partial 16S ribosomal RNA
Rfam family: Bacterial small subunit ribosomal RNA
Source: RNAcentral